UUGAAACACCAGUUCCUGUAUAAUCACCGAAUUUAAGCAACGUCGAGCCUGGUCAGUACGUAGAUGGUUGACCCCUCGGGAAUACCAAGUGCUGUA
Molecule: non-coding RNA, 96 nt
Organism: Acanthosepion pharaonis
Lineage: Eukaryota; Metazoa; Mollusca; Cephalopoda; Sepiida; Sepiidae
Source: the annotation of a GenBank genome assembly